This 1067-nucleotide long non-coding RNA is filed under the name Fragaria vesca (wild strawberry). RNAcentral's name for it is "long non-coding RNA (FVES_LNC005157)". Lineage: Eukaryota; Viridiplantae; Streptophyta; Magnoliopsida; Rosales; Rosaceae. The record is from RNAcentral.
AAUUAUAUUAAAAGUCGUCGACUAAACCAGUUUUAGCCGACGAAGAAUACUAGAAGUCGUCGGCUAAAAGAACAUAUAGCCGACGAAAUACCCUAAUAUUUCGUCGCCUUUAUUAAUUUUUAUAUUUUUUUAUUACAUACUAUAGCCGACGAAUAUAUUAGGGUAUUCGUUGGCUAAACCCUAAACUUUUUCUGUUACAUACUAUAGCCCUAUCUUCGGUGGUUAUUUUGCGUAAAAUUUUUAUACGACUUAUUAUGUCUCAUCGAUUUGAAAAUAUUUUUAGUUGAAGGUCUGGCCAAAAUACGAAAUUUAGACGGUCCAACGACCUUUUUCGUGCAUUUAGGGGUUUGACUUACGGGAUUGACCGUCCGGAUCGAGCACUUAACCUUGUCAGAUCAAGUUGAAUUUUUUCCCAUACAUGUAUUUUAUCAUGAUGGUCAGAUCUGACCGUCAGAUUUCCUUUUCUCAAGUUUGAUCAUCACAAUCACAACAUGCUUACUAAUGUUGUAUAACUUGUUUACCAAGUGUUAAGUAAAUGUUCCGUUUCAAAAACAUAUUAUACGUAGAACCUUCAAACGUAAAAAAGUCGUGAAAUAAGACAUGACCAGAAUGGUGAAAUACGUCUACGGUUGAAAAAUCACGGUAUUCCGGUCAUGUCUCGGUGCCGAUAGUUGCGGUCAAUGCAAUUUUCCAUUCUUUCUCUCUAUGGGUAGCCCUAUCUUCGGUGGUUAUUUUGCAUAAAAUUUUUAUAGGACUUGUUGCGUCUCAUCGGUUUGAAACUAUUUUCAGUUGAAGGUCCGGCCAAAAUACGUAAUUUAGACAGUCCAAUGACCUUUUCCGUGCGUUUAGGGGUUUGACUUAACGGAUUGACCGUCCGGAUCGAGCCCUUAACCUUGUCGGAUCAAGUUGAAUUUUUUCCCAUACAUGUAUUUUAUCAUGAUGGUCAGAUCUGACGGUCGGAUUUUCGUUCUAAAGUUUGAUCAUCACGAGCAGCAGUCACAGUUUGACGAAUGUAUAAAAAGUUNUAAAGCCGACGAAUUUAAAUGGUUAAUAGCCGACGAAUUUUG